UACGUAGGCAGCAAGCGUUGUUCGGAGUUACUGGGCGUAAAGAGUGUGUAGGCGGUCCUAUAAGUUCCGUGUGAAAUCUCCCGGCUCAACUGGGAGGGUGCGCGGAAGACUGUAGGGCUUGAGUGUGGGAGAGGUAAGCGGAAUUCCUGGUGUAGCGGUGAAAUGCGUAGAUAUCAGGAGGAACACCUGUGGUGUAGACAGCUUACUGGACCAUAACUGACGCUGAGGCACGAAAGCGUGGGUAGCAAACAGG
This 253-nucleotide ribosomal RNA is filed under the name uncultured prokaryote. RNAcentral's name for it is "partial 16S ribosomal RNA". It matches the Rfam family "Bacterial small subunit ribosomal RNA", at positions 524 to 776 of the family's 1533-position model. The record is from RNAcentral.